Fukomys damarensis (Damara mole-rat) is the source of this 47-nucleotide non-coding RNA. The record is from Rfam. Lineage: Eukaryota; Metazoa; Chordata; Mammalia; Rodentia; Bathyergidae.
AAACAGGCUUUACUAGAAGCCAUUCAACUAUAAACUUCUCAAACUGU